This 253-nucleotide ribosomal RNA is filed under the name uncultured bacterium. Its description in RNAcentral is "partial 16S ribosomal RNA". It matches the Rfam family "Bacterial small subunit ribosomal RNA", at positions 524 to 776 of the family's 1533-position model. The record is from RNAcentral.
UACGAAGGGGGCUAGCGUUGCUCGGAAUCACUGGGCGUAAAGGGUGCGUAGGCGGGUCUUUAAGUCAGAGGUGAAAUCCUGGAGCUCAACUCCAGAACUGCCUUCGAUACUGGCGAUCUCGAGUUCGGGAGAGGUGAGUGGAACUGCGAGUGUAGAGGUGAAAUUCGUAGAUAUUCGCAAGAACACCAGUGGCGAAGGCGGCUCACUGGCCCGAUACUGACGCUGAGGCACGAAAGCGUGGGGAGCAAACAGG